RNAcentral lists this transfer RNA (62 nucleotides) under Emydocephalus ijimae. RNAcentral describes it as "tRNA-Cys". RNAcentral also lists the same sequence under 1 other name. Lineage: Eukaryota; Metazoa; Chordata; Lepidosauria; Squamata; Elapidae. The record is from RNAcentral.
GACCCUUGGGUGUAACACACGUUAGACUGCAAAUCUAAAGUAGGCGCAUUUGCUAAGGGUUU